Molecule: long non-coding RNA, 1267 nt
Filed under: Cricetulus griseus (Chinese hamster)
Lineage: Eukaryota; Metazoa; Chordata; Mammalia; Rodentia; Cricetidae
Description: lncRNA (ENSCGRG00015041414.1)
Source: RNAcentral
UGACGAGCCAGCCAUAAGGCUUAACACUGAAACCAAAAUUAUAUAGAAAUGUGAAGAAUGGGACCUCUAGUUGAAUGAAGAUUCCUGUAUGUUAUCUUUACACUGGAGAUUUUAAAAGUCAAAUUUGCACAGGGUAGUUUGGUUGCUGCACCCCACGGAGAAUUUCAGAAAGUAAAAGGGUAGGAAAUAAUGAUCCAGCCUUGAAAUGCCAACAUGAUGAAGGGUAUAGAGAAACAUAGGAAAAUGAUACCAUGCUAAGUGGAAAACACCCUAACAGAUAUCCAAUGCUUCUGGAUUCUGAUUUAUGGAUGAACUUGUGAAACCAUUUAAGUGCUGGAACUGGAGCAACUCAAAAUUGAUCAAACUGAUCCUGCAAUAUUAUGUAGAGGCAGGAACCAUGUGUUCCCAUGCCCCCAUAUUGCUGAAAUAAAUAUAAAUGAUUACAAGACCAGCUUGCAAUGAACUUAAGGAGAGAUGAAGAUUUUCUGCAAUUUCCUGGGUAGUAGAAAACCCAGUGGGUUGGAGGCAAAAGCUAGGUGUAUAGCCCUGGGGGCCGGGGGUGCCCGUGUGCCUAAAUCUCCUCAACUCUGAAAUGAGGGGAUUAGGCUCCAUGGUCUGGAGAUCCUGCCUUUCUGUUCUCUCAGGUGGGUGGAAGCUCAGAAUGUCAGAGGCUCAUAGUGAUCGUUGGGAUAGCUCCCUAGUGGAGUCUUAUUGUUUGAUGAACGGUCUUCUCCCAUACUGUGAUGGGAAGACUAAUAAAAGCAAUGACAAUAUAGUGUGAACGAAGCAUUUUCUCAUUUGGAAGAAAACUAUGGUCUUCACAAACUAUUUGGAAGGUCCAAAAAUAACUUGUACAAUUCAUUGAAUUUUGGAGGAAAAGAAAGUUAUGAUACAGGAGAAAGAAAGAGGUUUAAAAGUGAAGAUGAAAAAAGGUUUGUAAUUUCAUUGGCUAAAAAGGGAUCUAUUGAACAGUAAUUACGGGCACUAAGGAAGCAUUGUCUCUAGUGCAUUUAAAAAGGAGCAUCAAGGCAAAUAUGGGAGCAUGGUGUGGGGUAGUUUUUUUUUUUUUUUUUUCUUUUCCUCGGGGGAAGGGUUGCUUUAUGAAAACCAGAGGCUUUUUUUUGUGGUUUUUUAUUUUUUAAUUUUAGAAAUAAUCCUAUUUUACAUAUCAAUCCCCCAUUCCCUGGCCCUCCCAUCCUCCCAUGGCCCUCACCAGCCCCCCCCACCCCUGCCCACUCCCCAAGGAUAGUGAGGCCGUCAAAAUCUG